ACGAACGCUGGCGGCGUGCUUAACACAUGCAAGUCGAACGGAAAGGCCCUGCUUGCAGGGUACUCGAGUGGCGAACGGGUGAGUAACACGUGGGUGAUCUGCCCUGCACUUCGGGAUAAGCCUGGGAAACUGGGUCUAAUACCGGAUAGGAGCCAUUUUUAGUGUGAUGGUUGGAAAGUUUUUUCGGUGUAGGAUGAGCUCGCGGCCUAUCAGCUUGUUGGUGGGGUAAUGGCCUACCAAGGCGGCGACGGGUAGCCGGCCUGAGAGGGUGGACGGCCACAUUGGGACUGAGAUACGGCCCAGACUCCUACGGGAGGCAGCAGUGGGGAAUAUUGCACAAUGGGCGCAAGCCUGAUGCAGCGACGCCGCGUGGGGGAUGACGGCCUUCGGGUUGUAAACUCCUUUCGCUAGGGACGAAGCUUUUUGUGACGGUACCUAGAUAAGAAGCACCGGCUAUCUACGUG
This 464-nucleotide ribosomal RNA is filed under the name uncultured bacterium. RNAcentral's name for it is "partial 16S ribosomal RNA". It matches the Rfam family "Bacterial small subunit ribosomal RNA", at positions 29 to 507 of the family's 1533-position model. The record is from RNAcentral.